CAUCAACUAAGUAGGACUCAUAGAAGCUCACAGAAACUGAACUGGCCAUCAAGGAGACUGCUGAGGUCCAUGGAUACACAGAGAAGAGAAAGACAACAGUUGACCAAACCAAAAAAUUGAAGUAGGUAUGGAUGCAAGAACCCUGACAGAC
Mastomys coucha (southern multimammate mouse) is the source of this 151-nucleotide long non-coding RNA. RefSeq lists it as uncharacterized. The record is from RefSeq and is a predicted model, not a curated record. The transcript is spliced from 3 exons. NCBI's taxonomy places the organism in Eukaryota, Metazoa, Chordata, Mammalia, Rodentia, Muridae.